GGUGCCUUGGCCGAGUGGUUAGGCAGUAGAUUGCAAAUCUGCGUACAUCGGUUCGAUUCCGGUAGGCACCUCCA
Molecule: transfer RNA, 74 nt
Filed under: Planctomycetota bacterium
Lineage: Bacteria; Pseudomonadati; Planctomycetota
Description: Planctomycetes bacterium (activated sludge metagenome) tRNA-Cys
Rfam family: tRNA
About the family: Transfer RNA (tRNA) molecules are approximately 80 nucleotides in length. Their secondary structure includes four short double-helical elements and three loops (D, anti-codon, and T loops).
Source: RNAcentral